Non-coding RNA from Fukomys damarensis (Damara mole-rat), 279 nucleotides. The record is from Rfam. Lineage: Eukaryota; Metazoa; Chordata; Mammalia; Rodentia; Bathyergidae.
GCCGGGUGUGGUGGCUCACACCAGUAAUCCCGGCUACUCCGGAGGCUGAGGUGGGAGAUCGCUUGAGUCCUGGAGUUCUGGGAUGCAGUGCGCUAUGCCGAUCAGGUGUCUGCACCAUCAAUAUGGUGACCUCCCGGGAGCGGAGGGCCACCGGGUUGCCUGAGAGGUGAAGCCGCCCAGGUUGGAAACAGAGCCGGUCAAAUAAUUUCCCAUAUCCAGCAUGAGAAUGGCUAGUUUACGCACAUUUCUGGUGUUCUUUACUCAAACACUUCACUUCAG